Molecule: transfer RNA, 82 nt
Rfam family: tRNA
About the family: Transfer RNA (tRNA) molecules are approximately 80 nucleotides in length. Their secondary structure includes four short double-helical elements and three loops (D, anti-codon, and T loops).
Source: Rfam
GUCUCCGUGGCGCAAUAGGUUAGCGCGUUCGACUGUUAUGCAGUCUAUCGAGAGGUUGGAAGUUCGAGCCUUCCCGGGGACG